Molecule: ribosomal RNA, 261 nt
Filed under: uncultured archaeon
Lineage: Archaea
Description: partial 16S ribosomal RNA
Rfam family: Archaeal small subunit ribosomal RNA
Source: RNAcentral
UAGCCGUAAACGAUACUCGCUAGGUGUCGGCCACGGUGCGACCGUUGUCGGUGCCGUAGGGAGGCCGUGAAGCGAGCCACCUGGGAAGUACGGCCGCAAGGCUGAAACUUAAAGGAAUUGGCGGGGGAGCACCACAACGGGUGGAGCUUGCGGUUUAAUUGGAUUCAACGCCGGAAAUCUUACCGGGACCGACAGCAACAUGAAGGCCAGGCUGAAGACUUUGCCGGAUUAGCUGAGAGGAGGUGCAUGGCGUAGUCGUGU